GGCUACGUAGCUCAGUUGGUUAGAGCACAUCACUCAUAAUGAUGGGGUCACAGGUUCGAAUCCCGUCGUAG
Molecule: transfer RNA, 71 nt
Filed under: Enterobacter hormaechei
Lineage: Bacteria; Pseudomonadati; Pseudomonadota; Gammaproteobacteria; Enterobacterales; Enterobacteriaceae
Also listed under: 2 other names
Description: tRNA-Met
Rfam family: tRNA
About the family: Transfer RNA (tRNA) molecules are approximately 80 nucleotides in length.
Source: RNAcentral